Non-coding RNA from Schizosaccharomyces pombe (fission yeast), 2327 nucleotides. The record is from the annotation of a GenBank genome assembly. Lineage: Eukaryota; Fungi; Ascomycota; Schizosaccharomycetes; Schizosaccharomycetales; Schizosaccharomycetaceae.
UGUUUUUUGAAAAUAAAGAACUAGUUGAGUAACUUCGUUUUUGAUUGAUCUGUGAAGAGGAAGGGUUGUUGGUGGUAGAUGAAGCAGUAGGGGGUUUAGUGGAUUGGGUCUGAAUGAUAGCAUCGGCAAAUGGCUUGUCAGACUGAAUGAACUUGGAGAUUUUAUUCAAAUCUUUUACACCGUACCAAAAGUAGUAAAAAUUAUUAGCAAACAAAGUACCUUCGCUUUUAGAGAAGAACCAUUCCAGAUUCUUGGCUGAAGGUUGAAGACGCCAUAGCAAAGAAGGGAAGUCUGCUUUUAAUGUUGUUAAUAUGCUAUCAACAACAUUGUUUAACCAAUUAUUGUCGGCGGCACCAAAAGCUAAGAGUACUGGCAAGGAUGAGUCGGUGGUGUCGACAAUAGCAACAGAUUCAUUGAAAGAGUCACUAUAAAUACGAAGUUUUCUGUCUUUCAGAGUAUCCUUGAACUGUUUCAAGCUUUCACUAGGUGCGGCUAAAGAAUUUUUUUGAAUGAUCAAAUUUUCUAGAGCAGCGUCUGGAAUGCUAUCCAACGAGUCAUGUUUGUUGAUGACAAAACCGCGACUAAUCAAAGUACCAGCGCCAGAUUCCGUAAAAAGCUCUUUUUGCAAAUCCUUCGUACUAAUAAUGGCUACGGAAGAUGUACGGGGAAGAGUAUCAAGUAACUCUUUGAUUUCUUUGAUUUUGAGCUUCGUACCAUACUUGACCCAUGGUUGCUUCAUGAGGCCAUCGUACUCCCUAUCCAAAUAGAUGCUGCUAAUUUUUUUCUUUGUUUCACCGUUGAUAAGUCCACCUUUUUCAUUGAGAUAGACCACCUUUAGAGGCUUCAAUACGCGAGCAAGCUCACCAGCAGUAAUGUCGGCGUUGACAUUCAACAAUUGACCAGAAGCAGUUUCGGCCAUAGACGUAAGAAUAGGGAGGGUUCCAGCACGAAUACUGUGUUCAAUAGGAGCUUUGUUUACCUUGACAAUCUUGCCAACAUACUUGUAUUUUUCUUUGUCGAGAUACUCUGCCUGAAAUACACCACCUGUAAUGGGACGAGCACGAGUUCCCAACUUUUCCAAAGCAUCUACAAGUUUCGCAUUUUCCUCUAAGAAAACUUUACGAGCUACAGAAAGAGUCUCGGCAUCGGUGAUUCGAAUACCAUCGCUAUACUCGGGUUCAACAUUUCUGCUGGCAAGAAUUUUGUUUAAUUGGGGACCAGCGCCAUGCACAACGAUGGGAUAAAGACCCACAUGAUUCAAAAAGGCAAGACUUUGUGCCAAUGUGUCUAAUUCGUCGGUGAUAAUGGCACCACCAACCUUGAUAAUAGCGAAACGUUGAGCUUCGAAGGAAGUAAAGUAUCGUAGGUAUUGCUCAACUUCACGACGGCUUCCGAUGGAGGAAAGAAUUCUAAUGAUGGCAUCACGAUCUUGUUCAAUUGGUUUCGCGAGUGGGUUUAACGGUUGUUGUUGACCCGGGGCAAAACUGCCUUGAAAACGUUUGCUUGCAAUGACUGAUGCAUUGGAACAUAGUAAGCUCCUUUUCGUACAGUGUUUCGCUCCAUUCCGUACAAGACCGGACUUGACAAUUUGUUGCAAUUCAAUAAGCAUUGCCAAAUUCUAGUGAUAUUCUAUGAUUUACUGUAGUUGGUAGAAGGCAGUUUGGUUGGUUUCAAAAUUGGAAAAUCAUUUGCUUCGUAAACGUAGCUAUAAUUCGUUAAAAUUUGAUUGCUGUAUCUAGGGAUUUGCUCUGGAGAUAAUCACUCAAAAAGAUGAGAUCGAUAAUGUUACUUGUUGGCUGAAAAUUACAUCGGAAACCAACAGUUUACAUGAAAGUGCUGCAAACGUGAGACAUGGACAUUUAAUGAAUUAAAGCUAUAUAAAUGACACUGUAAAAGCAACUCAUUUGCCGACAAUGAAUCUAUUUGUAUAUACAUUAUUUAAUACUAGUCCUAACUGACACAGUACAAUAUUCAUUAUUUCUAUGCAAGCCAGUUCAAUAUCUUGAUUUAUACAUGAAAGCAUUCUUUUGAAACAAUAUUUUGUUUUCUAUUUGAUUUCGCGUUGAAUAGUCCCAAUGACCCUGAUGAGACAAAAGCACUUAUCAUAAAAUUUAUUAUCUAAGAUAAUCUCGUUAAAAAAAAAAAAAAAAAAAAAAAAAAAAAAAAUUUGGCAAGAAGCCCUUCUCUUUCGUUAAAACUUGUUUCGCUUUAUGCAAUACUGUAAGUGUAAGCUUGUAAUAUAGCGAAUCUGUGAACUCAUUGUUCAUUUCAUGGUAGUUGUUGAUUUCACAAGCAUGCUGAGUUAUCAAUAUAGUAACACAAUUGGU